Molecule: ribosomal RNA, 407 nt
Filed under: uncultured bacterium
Lineage: Bacteria
Description: partial 16S ribosomal RNA
Rfam family: Bacterial small subunit ribosomal RNA
Source: RNAcentral
AAUAUUUCGCACUGGAGGGAACUCCGACGCAGCGACGCCGCGUGAGCGAUGAAGGACUUCGGAGCGUAAAGCUCUGUCUUUAGGGAGGAAGGUCUUUGGCCUUGACGGUAGCUAAGGAGGAAGCCCCCGCCAACUACGUGCCAGCAGCCGCGGUAAUACGUAGGGGGCAAGCGUUGUCCGGAAUUAUUGGGCGUAAAGGGUGCGUAGGCGGCGUUUUAAGUCAGGUGUGAAAGCCCACGGCUUAACCGUGGGACUGCAUUUGAAACUGGAGGGCUUGAGUAUCGGAGAGGAUAGUGGAAUUCCCAGUGUAGCGGUGGAAUGCGUAGAUAUUGGGAGGAACACCAGUGGCGAAGGCGACUACCUGGACGAAAACUGACGCUGAGGCACGAAAGCUAGGGGAGCAAACA